UCAUUGCCCAGCAGCUGAUUAAGACAAGAGAAAAUUUUUUCAAUUUGGAUCUUCCAUGGAUGGUGGAGGACCUCAGUCUCCGCGCGCCAAGCCAGGACUCAUGGAAAACGGCAGAGGAUGUGUUAGACCACCAGAGGGCGCUCCGGCACCGCAGGAGCGAGGAAAGCCAGUCUUGCAGCGGAAGUGAAACCGAUCAAGUGUUGCCUGUAAUCAGAUGCAUCAGGGUCUUUUCCAAUGACUCAGCUCUUCGCAUCAGGGGGCCAAAGUAUUAGAACUCCGUGGUACUUGGAGCAGUCUCAAGGCAGGUGGCUCAGUGGUGAAGAAUCCGCCUGCCAAUGCAGGAGACAUGGGUUUGAUCCCUGGAUCGGAAAGAUCCCCUGGAGGAGGAAAUGGCAUCCCAUUCCAGUAUUCCGGCCUGGAGAAUCCCAUGGACAGAGAACCCUGGUGGGCUACAGUCCAUGGGGUCAAAAAGAGUCGGACACAACUUAGAGACUAAACAGCAACAAAAUCUCCUUAGGCUGCCUCACCUGUCCCCUCCCACGGAAACCACAGUAAGGACUCUGCCCCCUCAUCAUGUCCUCACUCCUGUCUGCCUCCUGGCUGAGCUGGUGCUGCCCUGGGGCAUGGUGGGCUCCCCCUUCUUGGGAUCUGAGAAUGGAACCCUGCUGUUUUCACUGCUCGCAUUUCUGACACCAAACAUGUGUUGCUGUUUUCCCACACCAACCACCAGUUCUCCGAUCCUCCAGACCCCUAAUGAGUGCCCCCAGGCACCCAUCAUCUUACCAUCAUUAACAUACAGAAAGGCAUUCUCAGGACUCGAGAUUCCAGGGUUUUCUGAGCUAUCUUGGAUGAAGACCAAAUAUUGAAACAAAUGAUGCUCUUCUCACUUCCGUCACUCAGGAAAUGACAAGGGUUUCAGAAACUCUGUCAGGAACUGGGGACAAAGAUCAAAUACAUAUUUCUUACUGCAUAAUAAACAUACUAUAAUAA
Molecule: long non-coding RNA, 990 nt
Organism: Bos taurus (domestic cattle)
Lineage: Eukaryota; Metazoa; Chordata; Mammalia; Artiodactyla; Bovidae
Source: Ensembl